Molecule: long non-coding RNA, 205 nt
Filed under: Lathyrus oleraceus (garden pea)
Lineage: Eukaryota; Viridiplantae; Streptophyta; Magnoliopsida; Fabales; Fabaceae
Description: Pisum sativum (pea) long non-coding RNA (PSAT_LNC010033)
Source: RNAcentral
AAAUAUAGGGGUUAAUGCAUGUUAUAAAUUUGAUACAAAGAAUCAAACUCCUAAAACAUACCACACACUAAAAAAAGGAAGAACCUAUCUCAAUCUGACUUGUAUUGAUUCAUCUGACAUAAGGUCAUUGAUGAAUCAAUUAACAUUUAGACAUUAGAGAUUUCAUUGGUGAAUGAGGGAUUGGGGAAGAAUAGGGAUGCAGAUG